UUUCCGUAGGUGAACCUGCGGAAGGAUCAUUAAUGAAUAAACUUGGUCAAGCUGUUGCUGGUCUUUCGGGGCAUGUGCACGCUUGCCACCAAUUUUAACCACCUGUGCACCUUUUGUAGAUUGGAAACAAACUUUCGAGGCAACUCGGAUUGAGAACUGCUGUGCGCAAGCCAGCUGUUCUUGUGUUUCCCAGUCUAUGUUUUAUAUACUCCGAAUGUAUGUAAAAGAAUGUAUAGCUAGGCCUUUGUGCCUUUAAAUCAAAUACAACUUUCAACAACGGAUCUCUUGGCUCUGGCAUCGAUGAAGAACGCAGC
Molecule: unclassified non-coding RNA, 314 nt
Filed under: uncultured fungus
Lineage: Eukaryota; Fungi
Description: sequence contains ITS1, 5.8S rRNA gene
Rfam family: 5.8S ribosomal RNA (bases 266-314)
Source: RNAcentral